UUCCUCAAGGGUUCAGCUCAUUUUUGAUUGAGGCUCCUCGGUGAAGAUCACCGAAAGAGGAGAGGAGUGGGAGUUUUUGUUGAGGUUUGUUUGUUGCCCCUCUCCUCAGAUCUGCGUGAUUUUUUCUUCCCCAAGUGAAAAAUCAGAGCUGAUGAUUUCCUCCGAUUAAUAAAUCAAACAACCCCACCGCCGCCGCCACCACCACUACCACCACCACCACCACCAACAAAAAUAUCUCUUUCUCCAUCUCCAUAAUAUGUAUACAUGGCAAGCUCGGCUUAAUCACGAGCUUCUCUUUCUUUCUUCUUCUUUUUUACAACCAGGCAGUGAUGAUUUCAUAUAAAGCUACUGAUAGAAGUUUGAGACUUUGGAUAAAUCUGUUCUUCAUCAGCCAUGGCUAGUUUUAUGGUCUGGACUCUGGAAUUUGAUGCUACUGGUUUUAGGGCAUGUUAAUGAUCUGAAUUCCAAGUUGUGGAUCGGGACCAUUAUCACAUUUAUUGCUGCAAUGCCCCAGUGCAGGAAAUAGUUGUGACCACCACCUUGUUGCAAUGCCCCAGUGCAGGAAAUAUCACACAGAUGAGAUAUUUUCUUGUUGGUACCACCACCACCUUGCUCUAUUCACUCGCACCACCAGUGUAGCAUCAUCCUGUUUCUGAUUGUUACCGGGAUGAUAGCUUGUGCAUACAUGACAAAAUUAUCUUAGCCGGUAGAGCUAACAGAAUUACACAACCCAUCAGACGGUAAUAAUGAGAUUAUUACAUAAUAAUAAUGUAAGGCCGAUCAGUGCAGUAGUAUCAGUGCUAGUAUGUGCUUGGGUCGGCUUCUCACCCCUUUAGUCUUGCUUUGCUUGUGACAAUAUCAGUGCAAGUAGUUCUUUGGGCUUUUGUUCUUUUCUCUGUAAAAACCAUGAAAAGGAGAUGUAUUCAAGAUUUGGGGAAGCUUAACAACAUGAACUCUUUUGUUUUCA
This is a long non-coding RNA of Papaver somniferum (opium poppy), 967 nucleotides long. RefSeq lists it as uncharacterized. The record is from RefSeq and is a predicted model, not a curated record. The transcript is spliced from 2 exons. NCBI's taxonomy places the organism in Eukaryota, Viridiplantae, Streptophyta, Magnoliopsida, Ranunculales, Papaveraceae.